AACGGAGCAGACUACAGGAUUCCCUAGUAACUGCGAGUGAAGCGGGAAAAGCUCAAAUUUAAAAUCUGGCGGUCCUUGUGGCUGUCCGAGUUGUAAUCUAGAGAAGUGCUAUCCGCGCUGGACCGUGUACAAGUCUCCUGGAAUGGAGCGUCAUAGAGGGUGAGAAUCCCGUCUUUGACACGGACUGCCAGGGCUUUUGUGAUGCGCUCUCAAAGAGUCGAGUUGUUUGGGAAUGCAGCUCUAAAUGGGUGGUAAAUUCCAUCUAAAGCUAAAUAUAGGCGAGAGACCGAUAGCGAACAAGUACCGUGAGGGAAAGAUGAAAAGAACUUUGGAAAGAGAGUUAAACAGUACGUGAAAUUGCUGAAAGGGAAACGUUUGAAGUCAGUCGCGUCGGCUGGAGAUCAACCUUGCUCUUGCAGGGCGCACUCUCUGGUUGAUGGGUCAGCAUCAGUUUUGAUCCGUUGGAUAAAGGUCAGGGGAAUGUGGCAUCGAUUCGUUGAUGUGUUAUAGCCCUCGGUCGUAUACAGCGGUUGGGACUGAGGAACUCAGCGCGCCGCAAGGCCGGGUCUUCGGACCACGUUCGCGCUUAGGAUGCUGGCAUAAUGGCUUUAAGCGACCCGUCUUGAAACACGGACCAAGGAGUCUAACAUGCCUGCGAGUGUUUGGGUGGAAAACCCGAGCGCGCAAUGAAAGUGAAAGUUGGGAUCCCUGUCGUGGGGAGCACCGACGCCCCGGACCAGACCUUCUGUGACGGCUCCGCGGUAGAGCAUGUAUGUUGGGACCCGAAAGAUGGUGAACUAUGCCUGAAUAGGGUGAAGCCAGAGGAAACUCUGGUGGAGGCUCGUAGCGAUUCUGACGUGCAAAUCGAUCGUCAAAUUUGGGUAUAGGGGCGAAAGACUAAUCGAACCAUCUAGUAGCUGGUUCCUGCGAAGUAC
This 935-nucleotide ribosomal RNA is filed under the name Cyclocybe erebia. Its description in RNAcentral is "partial large subunit ribosomal RNA". It matches the Rfam family "Eukaryotic large subunit ribosomal RNA", at positions 49 to 969 of the family's 3401-position model. The record is from RNAcentral. Lineage: Eukaryota; Fungi; Basidiomycota; Agaricomycetes; Agaricales; Hemipholiotaceae.